Molecule: long non-coding RNA, 1067 nt
Filed under: Mus musculus (house mouse)
Lineage: Eukaryota; Metazoa; Chordata; Mammalia; Rodentia; Muridae
Description: predicted gene, 50419
Source: RNAcentral
GUCUUCCACCUGUGACUCCCUUUACAGAGGACUGUACUUCCUGCCAACUGGGCUGCGGUGCCCUGCCUCCGGGCUCUCCGCACUCACCCUUGCCUGGCAGGUCUGGAAGGACUCAGGGCUAUUUGGUUCUUGGAGCGACCCUUUGACUGCAUCUUCUCACCACCACCUCCUCAGCGGUUAUUUUAGUCAAGCGUUAUAACCAGGAUGAAGAAAAAAAGUACAGCUGAGGCCAUUUCUGUAACUUGAGUUAUGGUCCUAAUGGGAAGACCCAACAAGUCUGGAGAAGUGAAGACAGCCAUGCAUUUGCUUUUGGAUGGAGGAAGACAAUGUGAAAGAACAAAUAGUGAGACGCAGCUGAUAGACGGAAAACACUAGCAACCCGAGCAUUGGAAACAGGCAGCAGAGACUGCUGAAGCCGCGCCCCUGAAAGAGCAACAAAAGGAGGAACAGACUACAUUAUUGAAGACAAGGAUGUCCCCAGAAGCUCUCCGGUAUCUGACUGACUGAAUUGUUGCCUCUGUACAGUUGUUGCUGUGGAUUGUCCAGUGCUGGUAUGUGCUUUCCUUUCUGCAUCGAUGGUAAUGGCGAUGCACACACAGAGUCAAGUGGAGUUUAAUCUUUAAGAAGACACACAUUCAUCUAAAAUUAAACCCAAACAUUCUUGCACAGAGUGAUGUGCAAGGCUCUUAAGAAUAAAUGGUCUCAGAUGGCUUUUGUAUGGACCAGAAGGUCUCAAGGCCACCCACUACACAUGGCUGUAUGUAUAUUUAAUCUAUUGCUGUUCAUGCUUUCAUUCCCUCUCUUUUUAAUCCUAUCCACCCCCCUCAUCAUUUUAUAAUGCCAGUUUUGUUUUGGUGGGGAAAUUCUCUAGAAUAUUCUUCUAAAGGCUUUUAGAAUAAUGAAAAUUUAACAUGCACAUCCCGUGAACAAAUGUGAUAUGAUGAAUCAUGCGUUUUAAAUGAUAAUAGACAGAAAUAUCCAAGCAUAUUUCAAGGUAUUAACUAAUAUGUGCAUUGUGUUUGCUUUUGUAUCAAAUGUAAUAGCUCCUAUUGGACAUGCUUUUUCAA